GGGCCCGCACAAGCGGAGGAACAUGUGGUUUAAUUCGAUGAUACGCGAGGAACCUUACCUGGGUUUAAAUGGGGAGUGACAGGAGUGGAAACAUUCUUUUCUUCGGACACUCUUCAAGGUGCUGCAUGGUUGUCGUCAGCUCGUGCCGUGAGGUGUCGGGUUAAGUCCCAUAACGAGCGCAACCCCUAUCAGUAGUUACCAGCAUGUAAAGAUGGGGACUCUACUGAGACUGCCGGUGUAAACCGAGAGGAAGGUGGGGAUGACGUCAAAUCAGCACGGCCCUUACAUCCAGGGCUACACACGUGUUACAAUGGCCGGUACAAAGGGCAGCUACUCCGCGAGGAGAUGCGAAUCUUGAAAGCCGGUCUCAGUUCGGAUCGAAGUCUGCAACCCGACUUCGUGAAGCUGGAUUCGCUAGUAAUCGCGCAUCAGCCAUGGCGCGGUGAAUACGUUCCCGGGCCUU
This 463-nucleotide ribosomal RNA is filed under the name uncultured bacterium. RNAcentral's name for it is "bacterial SSU rRNA". It matches the Rfam family "Bacterial small subunit ribosomal RNA", at positions 917 to 1382 of the family's 1533-position model. The record is from RNAcentral.